This 242-nucleotide ribosomal RNA is filed under the name uncultured bacterium. Its description in RNAcentral is "partial 16S ribosomal RNA". It matches the Rfam family "Bacterial small subunit ribosomal RNA", at positions 92 to 334 of the family's 1533-position model. The record is from RNAcentral.
UUAGCGGCGGACGGGUGAGUAACACGUGAGCAACCUGCCCUACAGUGGGGAAUAACAGUUGGAAACGACUGCUAAUACCGCAUAACAUCACGGGAUGGCAUCAUUCUGUGAUCAAAGAUUUAUCGCUGUAGGAUGGGCUCGCGCCUGAUUAGUUAGUUGGUGAGGUAAUGGCUCACCAAGACGAUGAUCAGUAGCCGGACUGAGAGGUUGAACGGCCACAUUGGGACUGAGACACGGCCCAG